AUAGCCACCGAAAGGUGGUCUAAUACCUUACAGUAUCCAUCUCGUAUGGAUUAAAGCUUUAUGCGCUUUGGGAGGGGCCUGCGUUUGAUUAGCUAGUUGGUGAGGUAAAGCUCACCAAGGCGACGAUCAAUAGCUGGUUUGAGAGGAUGACCAGCCACACUGGGACUGAGAUACGGCCAGACUCCUACGGGAGGCAGCAGUAAGGAAUCUUCCACAAUGGGGCAACCCUGAUGGAGCAAUACCGCGUGCAGGAUGAAGCGUUUCGGCGUGUAAACUGCUUUAUCACCGAAGAUUAUGACUGUAGGUGAAGAAUAAGGACCGGCUAACUACGUG
Molecule: ribosomal RNA, 333 nt
Filed under: uncultured bacterium
Lineage: Bacteria
Description: bacterial SSU rRNA
Rfam family: Bacterial small subunit ribosomal RNA
Source: RNAcentral